GGCCUGGCCGGACGGUCCGUCUCUGGCGAGUACUGUUCUGUCGUCGGGUCUAUCCUUCUGGUAAGCCGUUAUGUUCUUAAUUGAGCGUAGCGGGGAGCCAGGACCAUUACCUUGAAAAAAUUAGAGUGUUCAAAGCAGGCUUAUGUCUGAAUACAUUAGCAUGGAAUAAUAGAAUAGGACGGUGGUCCUGUUUUGUUGGUUUCUGAAUCACCGUA
RNAcentral lists this ribosomal RNA (215 nucleotides) under uncultured fungus. RNAcentral describes it as "partial small subunit ribosomal RNA". The stretch from base 49 to 215 matches the Rfam family "Eukaryotic small subunit ribosomal RNA", at positions 694 to 863 of the family's 1831-position model. The record is from RNAcentral. Lineage: Eukaryota; Fungi.